RNAcentral lists this ribosomal RNA (112 nucleotides) under Caerostris darwini. Lineage: Eukaryota; Metazoa; Arthropoda; Arachnida; Araneae; Araneidae. The record is from RNAcentral.
AACGGCCGUAUCAUGCUGAAUAUACCGGUUCUCGUUAGAUCACCGAAGUCAAGCAUCAUUGGGCGCGGUCAGUACUUGGGUGGGUGACCACCUGGGAACACCGCGUGCCGUU